This is a long non-coding RNA of Engraulis encrasicolus (European anchovy), 850 nucleotides long. RefSeq lists it as uncharacterized. The transcript has 3 exons. NCBI's taxonomy places the organism in Eukaryota, Metazoa, Chordata, Actinopteri, Clupeiformes, Engraulidae. The record is from RefSeq and is a predicted model, not a curated record.
AUAUGUACCUGGCGUUAUCAGUCUAGGUUGGCCACGGUGGAUGUGUUCAAAUCAUAGAUUUAUUCAAAUGUAUUCUGCUCCACUAGGUGGCAUAACCGGGACGGGUGGUACGGGAAACUGGGAGAAGAAGAGAAAAUUGUUGCUUGCUUCCAGCCAUGAACUUACUCUGCCUGCGAUGUAUUUUUUUUAUCCCGUGUUUAUUUUCUUCAGUUAAGUUGUGAACUUAAACCAAACCUCUGCAUUGGCAAAAUACUAGCACCUUUAUGCACCGUUUCUUCAUUGGUGGCUGGGCACCGCGGAUGGCAUCCCCUUCUUCGUGGCAUGGCACAGGUAAGAUAAUGCUGCUAACCUAACUUACUACAAGACGCACGGCACAUUUUGUGUCAGGCAUUUCGCAAAGUGGUGUUUUGAAUAGCAUAUCUUUUCAUCUCAGAUGUAUCUUGUAGGUUAACUUGGAUUCACUCGUUUCGUUUCAUCCAAGUGGAUUUCAUUGUUGUUUCAGCCACGUCUGCACAAUGUUCAUCAGUCAGGUGGUCAGCACCCAAACUAAAACCAUGAGGCAUGGUGGCCAGGAUGACGUCCAAGAAUUGCAUCCCAGCACCACAGAUGGGGGAGCCAACAUGAAGAGGUGUCCAGAGAGGCUUCUUUCGCUUGGGCUUUGCAGCAGCACCAGGACCUCACCAUCAGUGAUGCUGGUCCCCUCAUCCAUCGGGCCUACCCUUACAUUCCUCCCCUGAUACACUGAUCACCUGUACCAGUUGUUGGAGUUUUCAGCAGGGCUCUAAAUUAUUUUUAAUCACUAGUAGCCAAAAUGGCUAGUAUGUUAAUCUCCGGUACAUUAAAUAAUGGG